RNAcentral lists this unclassified non-coding RNA (326 nucleotides) under soil metagenome. RNAcentral describes it as "partial contains 5.8S ribosomal RNA, internal transcribed spacer 2, and large subunit ribosomal RNA". The stretch from base 5 to 119 matches the Rfam family "5.8S ribosomal RNA", at positions 40 to 154 of the family's 154-position model. The record is from RNAcentral.
GAUGAGAACGUAGCGAAAUGCGAUAAGUAAUGUGAAUUGCAGAAUUCAGUGAAUCAUCGAAUCUUUGAACGCACAUUGCGCCCCUUGGUAUUCCGGGGGGCAUGCCUGUUCGAGCGUCAUUAUAACCCCUCAAGCUCAGCUUGGUGUUGGGGCCUGCCAACUGGCAGCCCUUAAAAUCAGUGGCGGCGCCAUCUGGCUCUAAGCGUAGUAAUUUCUCUCGCUAUAGGGUCCCGGUGGAUGCUUGCCAACAACCCCCAAUUUUCUAUGGUUGACCUCGGAUCAGGUAGGGAUACCCGCUGAACUUAAGCAUAUCAAUAAGCGGAGGA